UUUACUCAGCCCGUCAGCCCACACUCACCUCUACCUCCACGGCUCCACCUCCACUUCCACUUCCAUUUUCACCUCCACCUCCACCUCUACCACACUCUCGAUCUCUUCGACAAUUGAAGACCAGUGAAGUACCGUGGCUCUUUGGCAUUGAAGACCAAGUAAUUCUCCAAGUCUCUGCAGCAAAGUUGCAGGGGAAGGGGUUGGUUGCUGCCAAUCCUAUUGCUAUGUUGUUAUGCCAAGAUUGGCUAAUGGUUCGUUGACGAGUUAAAGAAAUUAGUAGAUGUUCUGUCUCUUAUCCUUGAAGCAAGCUACUUCCAAAAGGGUGGUUCUACUAGCAGUGACGAUUGUAGUUCAUUGGAGACUUGGCCUUCAAAGAAAGCUGCAGGUCACAUAAUUGAGUUUAUUACUUAUUAUGUUGCCUGUGAAAGAGCAAAGGUCUCUAGAGAUAUUUUAAGUCAAAAUUUGGAGUAUUUGACAUCAGAAAUUAGCUUUUCACCUAGUGUCUCUAGGCAGAAUAUUGAGAUCCACAAAAGAAGAGAGAAGCAAUUGCUUACACUUUUAGAGGUUGUACCUGACACAGAUUGGGAUGCUCCUUACCUGUUGCAUUUGUGUGAAAGAUGUCAGUUUCACCAGGUCUGCGGCUUAAUUCAUUCAAACAGAUGUCAGUACAUUGCUGCAUUGGAUAGUUAUAUAAAAGCUGUAGAUGAAUCCAUUCAUGCCUUUUCUUUUAUCCAUGAUAUGUUGCAGCGACUAAGCGAGACUGAUUCAGAAGCUUUCCAAGCAGCAGUCUUUUCAAGGAUUGGUGAUCUGGUCAAAUUAGACAGGUUUGAAGCAAUACUGAAUUCUUGAAGCUAGGAGGGAGUGUUAAAGAUAGAGUGGCAACGAAGAUUAUCGAAGAGUACCACUCCAUGUAUUCAUCCUCUAGUGGUUUGGAGAAAUGGGUUGUAAAGAUUGAGCAACCCAUAGACAUCUUUCUCACGAUACCCAUUGUAUCGGUUUCUCUUAUAUAAAUGAGAUAAAUGCUAUUUAAACAAAAUUUUGGGAGCUGUCUAUAGCAAUGACUGAAGGACGUUGAAGACAAAGUCGCAAUUUCUCAUGCAAGGGUUCGCUUGGAUGUUCUUUGGUUUCUUGAACUCAAUUCCUUUUGUAAACGUACCUUAUGAAUAUGUGAUAUUUAGGCACAAUGUUACUUUUAUAGACCUUUGUUGGGUAAUGUGCACCUCAAUAUGACAUUUCAGUACUGAAUAUGCUAUAUUGGCAUGUAGCCUAAUGCAACAACUACUUUUGAUUA
This is a long non-coding RNA of Coffea eugenioides, 1291 nucleotides long. RefSeq lists it as uncharacterized. The record is from RefSeq and is a predicted model, not a curated record. The transcript has 6 exons. Lineage: Eukaryota; Viridiplantae; Streptophyta; Magnoliopsida; Gentianales; Rubiaceae.